UCUGGACGGAGCAACGCCGCGUGAGGUGAUGAAGGUUUUCGGAUCGUAAAGCUCUGUUGUUAGGGAAGAACAAGUACCGUUCGAAUAGGGCGGUACCUUGACGGUACCUAACCAGAAAGCCACGGCUAACUACGUGCCAGCAGCCGCGGUAAUACGUAGGUGGCAAGCGUUGUCCGGAAUUAUUGGGCGUAAAGGGCUCGCAGGCGGUUUCUUAAGUCUGAUGUGAAAGCCCCCGGCUCAACCGGGGAGGGUCAUUGGAAACUGGGGAACUUGAGUGCAGAAGAGGAGAGUGGAAUUCCACGUGUAGCGGUGAAAUGCGUAGAGAUGUGGAGGAACACCAGUGGCGAAGGCGACUCUCUGGUCUGUAACUGACGCUGAGGAGCGAAAGCGUGGGGAGCGAACAGGAUUAGAUACCCUGGUAGUCCACGCCGUAAACGAUGAGUGCUAAGUGUUAGGGGGUUUCCGCCCCUUAGUGCUGCAGCUAACGCAUUAAGCACUCCGCCUGGGGAGUACGGUCGCAAGACUGAAACUCAAAGGAAUUGACGGGGGCCCGCACAAGCGGUGGAGCAUGUGGUUUAAUUCGAAGCAACGCGAAGAACCUUACCAGGUCUUGACAUCCUCUGACAAUCCUAGAGAUAGGACGUCCCCUUCGGGGGCAGAGUGACAGGUGGUGCAUGGUUGUCGUCAGCUCGUGUCGUGAGAUGUUGGGUUAAGUCCCGCAACGAGCGCAACCCUUGAUCUUAGUUGCCAGCAUUCAGUUGGGCACUCUAAGGUGACUGCCGGUGACAAACCGGAGGAAGGUGGGGAUGACGUCAAAUCAUCAUGCCCCUUAUGACCUGGGCUACACACGUGCUACAAUGGACAGAACAAAGGGCAGCGAAACCGCGAGGUUAAGCCAAUCCCACAAAUCUGUUCUCAGUUCGGAUGCGCAGUCUGCAACUCGACUGCGUGAAGCUGGAAUCGCUAGUAAUCGC
This 974-nucleotide ribosomal RNA is filed under the name Bacillus subtilis. RNAcentral's name for it is "bacterial SSU rRNA". It matches the Rfam family "Bacterial small subunit ribosomal RNA", at positions 381 to 1345 of the family's 1533-position model. The record is from RNAcentral. Lineage: Bacteria; Bacillati; Bacillota; Bacilli; Caryophanales; Bacillaceae.